CCCAGUCCUACUACACGGUGGCUCACGCCAUCUCCGAGAGGGUGGAGAAGCAGUCUGCCCUCCUCAUUAAUGGCACCCUGAAGCACUACCAGGUAAGUGGUGUGUUUGUGUCCCCGUGGCAAGCCUUGGCCUUGCAUACGCAUCAUCCCCAAGCGUGUACGCCCCACUUGAGGAGCCUUAGUCAACUUAGGUGAUGUCAAAGUUGGGGGAUACAUUUCAGGUUAAGUGCCCUCCCCGUAGGGGUGCAGGGUGCAGGUGGCUUCCUUCAAGAGUAGCUGUGCUCAC
This 285-nucleotide long non-coding RNA is filed under the name Rattus norvegicus (Norway rat). RNAcentral's name for it is "long non-coding RNA NONRATT001635". The record is from RNAcentral. Lineage: Eukaryota; Metazoa; Chordata; Mammalia; Rodentia; Muridae.